GUUCAAGAGUACGUGAAACCGUUCAGGGGUAAACCUGAGAAACCCAAAAGAUCGAAUGGGGAGAUUCAUCGUCAACUUGCUUCGUAUAUAUGCGAGUAGUGAUGCGGGUUACUCUUGUAGUAUUGCUUGCACAUUCUUGUAUAUUUGUUGCGAGGUUUGUCGGCGUGCACUUCUCCCCUAGUAGAACGUUGCGACCAGUUGAAUGUUGGUCUAUGGCCCGAGUGGGAGUCCUCAAUGUCAUGUGCAUCGAAACCCCUUGGUGUUCCUGACCAACUGUUCAAUUGUAUUCAUACGGUAUUGAGCCGCUCUAUAAUGCGUCCAUGCCCGUCGCAAGCUAGGUUAAUUUUCGGUAGUGCGGACCUGGUGCCGUCGCUGAGGUUAAACCAGCUUUGGUUGUACGGUGUCUAGGACUGGCUGAAUUACCGGUCAGCGAUGCUACUGCUUUGGGUACUUUCAGGACCCGUCUUGAAACACGGACCAAGGAGUCUAACAUGUACGCGAGUCAUUGGGAUUUUUUAAAUUAAACCUAAAGGCGUAAUGAAAGUAAAGGUCGUCCUUGCGUCGACCGAGGGAGGAUGAGUUGUGUUAAGAUGCAGCUCCGCACUCCUGGGGUGUCUCAUUUUCAUGAAAAGAGG
RNAcentral lists this ribosomal RNA (635 nucleotides) under Braconidae gen. n. aff. Caenophanes sp. AZR-2017. RNAcentral's name for it is "eukaryotic LSU rRNA". It matches the Rfam family "Eukaryotic large subunit ribosomal RNA", at positions 387 to 788 of the family's 3401-position model. Lineage: Eukaryota; Metazoa; Arthropoda; Insecta; Hymenoptera; Braconidae. The record is from RNAcentral.